Non-coding RNA from Pelobates cultripes (western spadefoot toad), 209 nucleotides. NCBI's taxonomy places the organism in Eukaryota, Metazoa, Chordata, Amphibia, Anura, Pelobatidae. The record is from the annotation of a GenBank genome assembly.
GUCAGGGGGCAAAUGUGCAUUUAAAUUUCGCUGAAAAUUUCGCGCCAAACGCAUCUUGCUAGAAACAUAAACAAGGUUAUGAAAAGAGAAGAUUCAGUAGGACAAUAUCAUACAAUACACUGAGAGUCCAUGCUGUUACACAGAAACCUUCUCCAGUGCUUGGGAGAGGUAGCUAGGCCUCAGUCCGGAGGGUUAUCUGUAGUCAGCCG